Molecule: long non-coding RNA, 735 nt
Filed under: Anser brachyrhynchus (Pink-footed goose)
Lineage: Eukaryota; Metazoa; Chordata; Aves; Anseriformes; Anatidae
Description: lncRNA (ENSABRG00000019684.1)
Source: RNAcentral
CCCUUUUCUCACGAAAGGCUGGACUUGAUGAGCUUUUGAGGUCACUUCCAAACUGGGAUGUUCUGUGAUUCUAUGAAAUUUGUAGACGCCAGCACCAGCUCUGCCUGCAGUGAGGAAGCAUGUCUGCAUGGUCAUUGGCUUCAAAACUAGCACUUUUCUACUUUCUUUCUUUUAGGUAGAAGGUAACAGCAACCUUCCCUCCAGUUAAGUCAGAGUAAAAUGGGUCUGGAGAGAACUCAGAUACAGGGCUGAAAACAAAGACAUCCAAACCUUGAGCCAUUUAGAAGAGGAAGAAGCCAAAAUCUCUGCCAGAGGUUUGACUGCUGGGUUUACUCAUGGCUUCAGGACAGGGUCCAAGAGGGACCCAAGGGACCCGUGUGUGUAUGUGUGGUGGGCGAGGGAAGGCAGAGGAGCACCCACCUGCACGGGCCAGCAGAGACCCAUACGCUCAGCACUAACCACAGGUUUAGUUGUGAAGCAGCUCAGCCUCUGCAGGCAGCUAGGAAGCAAGGUAGACUCAGAAAAGAAGUGGAUGCUCCAUCUGAUGACCUAGCCUACUCAAUGGAGACAGUUCCUGCAGGAGAAAACAGAGCAAAACAAAACAAAAGAAAAGAAAGAAUAAAACAAAACAAAACCAAAACCUGGGAAAUGCUUCUCCAUCUAAUCCCAACUAUCUUGUCCUGCUGCUAAGAGGAACCAUGUGGCUGUUACAGAGACGUGCAGGAGAACGGUGUU